Molecule: long non-coding RNA, 5627 nt
Filed under: Musa acuminata (dwarf banana)
Lineage: Eukaryota; Viridiplantae; Streptophyta; Magnoliopsida; Zingiberales; Musaceae
Description: long non-coding RNA (MACU_LNC003711)
Source: RNAcentral
GGAGAACUGAAACGAGAGCUUGUUGUAAGACGUCAUCUGUGGGACGCCGGUGAGCCGCAGCCCGUUCCAUGGCCCGGCGCGCCACUCCUGAUGCGUCCCUGACCAUUCAAAGAUCUGGGGAUCGCCGCGCAGAUCGAUGCCGAAGGUGUACUCGCCCGGCGCCGGGUCGCUGGCGUUCGUCCACGACGUGAGCUGGCGGUUGAACCCGGUCGUCAGAUUCCACCCGAGCUUCAUACCCGGCAGGAGCGAGUCGGUCGGGUAGUCGAAGCUCUGCCACGCAAAGCUGUUCGGAUCACCAGCAUUAGCAUCCGCCUCCCUGACGACAAAGUUCCCAUCGUCGAGGAGCUGCGCCACCGGGUUUGCAAGAGCGAGCGACGGAGAGGACCAGACGACGGUCGAGUUCUCGCCGGUGAUGCGGAGCGUUCGGUUGGCCGCCACGGAUAGGCUUCCAUGGCUGCCGGUGACAGGACGCUGGCGAUUGGCGACCCACACCACCGUUUGGACUGAGAUCUUGUGGUACCAUAUCCCGAUAUAGCGGUUGUCAGAACCGUUGGGGCUAAAGAAGCCCAACGCGAAGCUGCCGUCCUUCGAGAUCAAGGGUUGCCCGCCGUCAGCGUGGGGGUGGUCAAGAGUCAAGCGGUCUGCUCCAUUGGAGGGGGAGGAGAGAGUGGUGAGGAGGUAGAGAAGGAAGGAGGCCCCAGAGAGCCUCCUCAUGGUCAAUUGAUUAUUCCUAGUGGUCGAAUCUCAAAAGCAAGUCGAACACUGUACAUUUAUUUGAUUAUUCCUAGUGGUCGAAUCUCAACCAACCCUCGUAAGGUUGGUUGUCACUCUCAAUAACCGACUGUACUAGAUUUGAAACUUCCAAACCUAUAAAUCGGGUAUCAAAGAGUGGAGUACUCAUACUGGAUAUCCUUGUAUUGAAUCUUAGAUUUUGAUGAUAAAACCAAUUGAUAGAGUUUAUGAUUUGAUCUGUGUUUUGAGUUACACAGGAAGCUUCGAUCAGGGAGAGACAAUUAAAGCAGGAAGAAUCAUGUUGGGCCGGAGAAAAACAUGUCAGAAGAUUGAACGUCGUGUCGAAGGAUCGGUCGAUAUAUCGACAGAAGGCUUCGAACCAUGAGUUCGGGCAUCGGGCCAAGAAGAAUGGAUAUUACGCCAAGGAAAUCGAAAUUGCAGAGGUCAACUAGCCGAUUGGGCAAUAGACCGCAAGAGAGGACGAUGCGCCGAAGAAUCAGACGAAGCGUCGAUGAACCAAUGACAUGCGGACAAUAUUUGAUUAGCUUAGUAAUAAUUGUCUAGAUCGAAGUGAGUUUUAAGUGUGCAGGAUUAACUACGAUAGCAAGGCAUAAAGAAAAAUGAAAUCCCAGAGUCAAGAACGCGAUUUCGUUGGGAGUUCGAGUGUUCGUCGAAAGUCUGGACGUUCGUCGGAAGUUUUGCUGAAAUUGAUCGAGAAGUCCAGGAGCUUGCCAAAGAAGCUCAUCGCAACUCGCAAAGAAGAUCAUCGUGAAGUCCAGGAGUUCGAGAGCUCGCACUCUCAACUUUUUGUUUUGUUGUUCAACUCAUUGGAGUUUAAAUUUUGUUUAUAUAAAUAGCCAUCAGGUUUCUUGAAUACAAUUUAGAAGGACACCUCACAUACAUGCAUACACCUUACGCCUGAAUAGAAGCCAUGAUCACAUGAAACUUCAUACAAGUAUUAGCAAGGAAAAGAUGUGACUAAUAUAUUCAUAUUUUCUUCCCUCUGAAACAAAGUAUUUGGAGUUCUUACGGUACCCAAGUUUAUAAACAAGUCAUGUCUGGUAUGACUUUUUCAGAUAAAGCUAGUCCUAGUAUAUUCUAGGUUUCGUUGGCCCUGUAAUCUCCUUAUUCUUCUUAAUUAUCUUCUCUUCCUCGAUCUUUUCUUGCAUUCAUUUGUAUCCUAAUUCUUCUUUAUUGUCUUCUCUUCAUCAAGUCUUUUCUCACACUCAUUUGUGUAUCCUAAUUUCUGAUGAUCUUCUUAAUCUCUAUAAGGAAAACCAAAUCAGAACAAAGAAAUUACAAACUAAGAGAUUGAAAAAACAACAAGAGGCUGGAAAUCAGAAUCCGGCUGGCUGCCCAGAUGUAAAACAAUGUCAUUUUAUGCUUAAUGCAUGUUAGCCAAUGCGAUUGUAAUAACUUAGCAACUAGAAUCUGAUAAGAAAUAAGAAUCUCAUGUAACCUUGGACGCUUACCCCAGCAGUUGGAAGACAAAGGCCUACAGAGAGAACAGGAAAUAUAUUUGCAAGUGGUUGGACUGUUGUUGAACAUGAACUAUACACCAAAAUCAAAUUCUUCAUGUGGUGACAAGCAAGAAAUUUAGGGCCUCACUAAACCUUGGCAUCCAUGAUAUCCUCUAAGAUACCACCAAUAUAUGUUCAACAUAUACAUAUGAUCAAAUGUAUCAUAUAGGUGUUUUUACUGCAUGAUAAGCUAUCGAAAAACUCCAAUUGAUACCUUGAGACAAGAAGGGCUACGUAAGGGAGAAUCGAAGGAAAGAUUUGGAGCGAAACAUAUCCCCCAACAAGAACCACAGCAAGGCCUUUGCACGAUCAGGUGAAUCCUGUAUAAAAGCUGCUGCUCUGCAUUUAGAAAAUAUAGCAUAUAUAGAUUUGUGAUAUCUCAAAAUGUUAAAUGGAUGUGCAAAAGGCAGUCUUCAAUAACGGAGAACAUUUCGAUGCCAAUAUUUACAUCGUCUAGAAUAUUGAGAUAUUUGUUUCAUUAUCAUUUUGUACUUGCAUCAAUUAGUCGCACCAAUUAGUCUAACAGCUCUUGCAGGAUUCGAUUCUACAUCAUUUCGUUGUUAUGUUUAUUUGGGGCAUUCAUCAUCGACCUUCAAACAUCGUGACCGACACGUUGUUGAUGGACAACGAGUCCUGCUUGCUCCUCGAGGAAUCGGGUUCGAGCGGCCCUCUCAUGGCAACAAAGCCCGGUUGCCUCGGCUGCGGCAGCAGCGCGCUGUCGCUUCCCAACAUGAACAGCACCGACGACAUCGUCGGUCGGUCCUCCGGUCGCUCCUGAACGCACAGAAGGCCUACCUUCAUGCACCUCAAGACUUCCGCCUUGGGGUACGAGUCGCCGAUGGCUUCGUCGACCAAGUCGAGGCCUUUACCUUCUCUCCAUAGGCUCCACGUCUGAAGGCAAUCACUGUUAGUGGCACAGCGAGGGAGGAAGACGACGAUGAGUUCUUAUACUUACGUAUCCCAGAAGAUUGAGGCUGCGUGACGAGUCAUAGAUUCCUCUGUUCUUUUUGCCGCUGAUGAUCUCAAGUAUCAACACGCCGAAACUGAACACAUCAGAUUUCACGGAGAAGAUUCCAUCCAUGGCGUAUUCGGGAGACAUGUAUCCGCUGCAGUAAUCGUAAGAGUAAGAAGCGUCUUUGAUUCUGCUGGUCACGAUGCACAUGUAUUAUGUGUUCUUGAAGUCUUACUAUGUUCCGACGACUCUCUUGGUGUUUACUUCCGAUUCGUCCCCUCCAAAUAUCCUUGCCAUGCCGAAGUCAGAUAUCUUAGGGUUCAUGUGCAUGUCGAGAAGAAUGUUGCCAGCUUUCAGAUCCCUGUGGAUGAUCCUCAAUCUGGAAUCCUGAUGGAGGUACAGAAGACCUCGAGCAAUCCCAACUAUGAUGCUGUAACGCGUUGGCCAGUUCAGCAACCAACCCUUGGCUUUAUCUGAGCAAAGAUUCUCAUGAUGAGUGAUGAAUGGAGAUGCAAAAUGCCAUGAGAAGGUGAAAGGAUGAACUGAUCACCAAAUAGGAAGGAGUCCAAGCUUCCGUUGGGCAUGUACUCGUAGAUCAACAUCCUUUCUUCUCCUUCAAUGCAGCAACCAAGAAGGCGAACAAGGUUACGGUGCUGCAGCUUGGCGAUCAGCACCACCUCGUUCUUGAACUCAUCGAUGCCCUGCACCGAUGUCUUGGACAGCCUCUUCACAGCUAUCUCUUGCUCGUCCUCCAGCUUACCCUGCGAGCUUCUGGUUGAGAGCAGCCAAAUUGGUUAAACUGUAAACCGCGAGACUCGGUCGAUUCCCUACCUUGUACACGGGACCAAAUCCCCCCUCGCCGAGCUUGCUUUCUAUGGAGAAGUUGCCUGUGGCGUCGGCGACCGUUCCCAGAUCGAACAAUGGGAGGUCCAAGUCGUUCGCUUCUGUUCCUUCAUCGUUGUGUCGCUCUGUCAAGGAGAUGGCCAUGCCUGACAUACCUGCUGAGUGAUAACAAGAGGUGAUGAAGGAUUCCUCUCUAAGUGGUAGUAACAAGGUAAAGAAGAAGAAAUGUUGAUGGUACUUCUAUUCUUCCUUCUCCAAACACAGCAACCGACGAAAGCUAGGAUUGAGAUGAAGAGAGCAAGGAUCACACUGAUCACGGUUAAAUGGAUCCGGUGAUGACUUGAUUCUGAGUCUGAAAUAUCAACAUGAUCAUAUGAAAACAAGAACAAAAUUAUCUGUUCUCGUCAGAAAAAAACCUUCGAGAAACUUGCAGUAUAUAUUAGCAUGAUAUUUUUAGUACCACCACCUUCAGAGAUGUCAAAUACUGCUUGUACUAUUUUUCUUAUGAGCUAAAUAUCACAAAUGGCAACGAAGAAAAAAGGUAUGCAUACCUAAACUGAGCGAGACCGAGCUGUACAUACCUAGAUCGGCGGCCGCUGCCCUGACAUAGAGAUCCUGUCCUCCACUGCCGUACACCCUCAGAUCUGUGAGAUUAGUACUCCAUAGUAUGCACCCGCUGCCGCUCCCGCUGAUGUUGGCUUGAGCGUAGGCCGUGCACGAGCAAUUCUUCAAACACUUAGCUCUGCACUCGUCCAGGGUCGUGCCGACCCAUUCCACCGUCGAGUUCGACGUGUCCGGUAGCUUCGCGCCGCUCACUAAGACGAACCCAUCGGUCCCGUUCCGGCAGUCCACCUCGGUCUUCCUCACGCACCCGUCGGAGCCGUACCUGAAUUCCCAGUUGGUCGGAUUCUUCGGCCGGAACCCCUGCGGGCAGCCGCACAGCGGCGCCCGGCUGGUGUCGCAGACGGCGUUGGGGCCACACGGGAAGAUGUUGUCGCAUGCGUCCAUUGGGGCGUACCAGAAGGUGUUCCAGAACUUGCUGUCGUCGACCCACACAAGCCUCUGAAGGGUGCCGGACUGGUUCACGACCAGCCUGGAGACGAAGGAAGGGUCGAUCAUGUAGAAGACGUAGACGACCUGGGUGGCGUCGACGAAGAACUGCAACGAGAACAUGUUAUAGGACGCCAUCUGUGGGACGCCGGUGAACCGCAGCCCAUUCCAUGGGCCACCGCGCCACACCUGACGCGUCUCUGACCAUUCAAAGAUCUGGGGAUCGCCGCGCAGAUCGAUGCCGAAGGUGUACUCGCCCGGCGCCGGGUCGAUGGCGCUCGCCCACGAUGUGAGCGUACGGUUGAACCUGGUCGUCAGAUUCCACCCGAGCUUCAUGCCCGGCAGGAGCGUGUCGGUCGGGUAGUCGAAGCUCUGCCACGCAAAGCUGUUGGGAUCACUAGGAUUACCAUCCGCCUCCCUGACGACAAAGUUCCCAUCGUCGAGGAGUUGCGCCACCGGGUCCGAAAGAGCGAGCGACGGCGAGGACCAGACGACGGUCGAGUUCUCUCCGGUGAUGACGAGCGUUCCGU